UACUGGAUAUACGAAAAAUCCAAAUGGCACCAUUCAGUUUAAGGCUGGGAAGACUAUCGCUAGCAUUAUUGUAGAUGGAGUGAUCGAAAAAAUCACUGCAGCAGUUACCGUUGUAGCAGUUGCAGUACCUAAGGGCCUUCCUUUAGCUGCUAAACUGACACUAGCUUACUCGAUGAGAAAAAUGAUGGUGGAAAAAGCUAUGGUGCAAUGGCUUUCUGAAUGCCCGACUAUGGGAUUUGCCACAACUAUCUGUAGUCAUAAAGCUGGAACCUUGACUUUAAAUCAGAUGACAGUUGUCAAGGCUUAUACUGGUGGAAGAAAAGUUGACCCUCCGGACAGCACCUCAAAGUUAUCAACUUCUCUUAUUUCUCUACUGAUUGAAGCCAUUGCUCAGAAUUAUGCGCCUAAGGUGGGUUUGCAACUGUUGGUAUUAGUGGAAGCGUGUGCUUGAUAUGUGAGUAAUAUAUCAAGGGAGCAAGGGAACUAAGAACAAUGUGUGUAAGAAUUGAUUGGGCAAAGAAGCAACAAGAAUGUUUUGUAAGAGAGUAGCAGCAAGGGAGCCCAAAGGAACAAAAGGAAGGCCUUUAUUAUUUGAUGAGAACUACAAAGAGAAGAGGGAAGGAGCUGAACUUGUUGGUCUGCUACGCUCCACACCUUGCUAUUUAUAAGCAAGGUUCACCGACUUAUGGCCCACAAUUUAUAACUUUUAGUAGAUUUUUAAUCCUACAAUUUUUUACUUCAACAACCGACUCCUCAAGGAAAACAUCUCUGCCAUUUGCAGAGAUAAUUUUAUGGACUCUUCCACUCAAAUUUAGUAGACUCCAGAUUCUUCUUGCGGGCCAAGCACUAGAUUAUUUUGGAUUUUUUCAUAUUUCUCUAGCAAAUACCCUAUGCUAGAAAACUCUAGGAAUUGGAUCAGCAUUUUAACAGCAACAUCAGUAAUGGCUGUUUAAUAAUGGCGACCAGUGAUAACUUCAUGUGUUUUUACUUCUUUAGACAGUGUGAGAUGUAGAGCUGUCUGCUUUGCCAACUGAAAAGGCCAUUCUACAGUGGGGGAUCAAGGUUCUUGCUUAAGUUUUAUAUCGCUUACUUAUGCUCUUCACUCCUAUCUCUAGUUCAUCUAUUUGUUUGACGAGUGAUGUCAUUAGACUACUCACGAUGCCUCAUUUGCAGCUGGAGAUGGAAAUUGAAGUUGUUCGGUCAAGUUCCUCUAUAAUUCAUGUUUUCCCUUUCAAUUCUGAGAAAAAACGAGGUGGAGUUGUUGUAAAGCUGAUAUAUUUCUCAUUCCUUAGUUUUAUUGAUCACAUGUGCAUUAUUGAUCACAUGUGCACUGCUGAAGAGGACAUUUGCUACAAUAUGCACAUUGUAUCUUAUUGUUAUUUAGAGUGUGAAUCUUGUCAUGUGGAUUGGCACAGAUAAAAAGAUCUAGUCAUGCAGACAGUAUCUGUGUCAUUGCAAUACCUUUUGAGAUUGUACCGAGCUGCUAUAACAGUAACUAAAGUUUUGGGAAAGUUGCUUUUGUACAUGAAACUAACUCCCAGACAGUCAGGACACUGUUGUUUUUGCUCUUCAACAGCUUUACUUUUAAGGCAGUAUUAGUGCGGUGCUUUUCUUUGUGCUUACGUUGUAAGCAGGUCUUAACAACAAAGGAGUUAAGAUUCUAAGGCACAGUAAAAUGGUGGAAUACCCACUUGAUUGAAAAAGAAGGUGGUACAAAACUCAGCAGUUUGGGCAAGGUAACCAAGGUUUUUUAAACUUCAAAUCACGAUUUUACUUAGUGAUGGCUUGGUUUGGGGUGUCUGAAGGACUAUAUUGCGGUUGAAUCUGGAUUAGUAAGUUCUUUGAAACUUCUAAAGUACUUAUCAUUUGAAAGUAAAUAGUUAGAGGUUUGCUGAGCUUAAAUUUCCAAAGAUUAUAUCUGCAGAUUUAAUGAUAUUGACAAGUUCUCAUAGUACAAUCAUCUGAUUUUGUCAUGUUGGAUGCAAUCCCAUUAAUAUGCUAAAAUAAUAAGAUCUGGAUAUUAGUCCUUAAGUUUUGGAUUGAACAGUAGUUGGAUCCUAUAUUAGAUUUGAGAUUUUGCUAGCCAUCACUAUGGGGCAAAGCCAUGCAUCCUUUCUAUAUGAUAGCCGUGUAAAGGCCAUUUACUGUUGGGUUCAUGAAUCAUUUAUUUCUUUCUCUUAAACUACUCUUUGGUGGUUUGAACAAAAAAAAGAAUUUGCUGUUUAAGAAAAUUAAGUUUUGGUCUUGGCUGGUACUUGCUUAUGAUGCACACCUAUAGUGUGCACAGUUAUUGGGUUGAGUUACCACAAUGUUAAAUCUCCUGCAGAUUUAUACUACAAUUGUACUGUGAUGCAAUGUAAAUCCAUCGUUAAUGAUUGUUUUUAAACUUUCAAGCACAGCAAGACUCAGAGGUUUGCAUGCACCAGAAAGGAGCUGCUGAAAUAGUUUUGGCUUUUUGUACAAAGUACAAGGAUGCAAAUGGUCAAGUGGUAGCAAUGGAUAAAGAUCAGAAGAUGUACUUCAGAAAGGCUAUUGAAGAUAUGGCUACUGAUAGUCUUCCCUGUGUUGCCAUUGCAUAUAGAUCAUAUGACAUAAAAGACAUUCCUCUAGAUAAAGAACAGUAAACCAAGUGGGCAUUACCAUAGGAUGAGCUUAUCUUACCGACUAUUGUGGGCAUAAAGGAUCCUUGUCGUCCUGAAGUAAAAGAUGCCAUGAAACUAUGCCAAAUUGCUAGAGUUAAGGUACAAAUGGUUACUGUUGACCAUCUCCAAAUUGCCAAAGCAAUUGCUUUGGAAUGCGGGAUACUAGAUCCAGAAGCAGAUGCUAUUGCGCCAAACCUUAUUAAAGGAAAAACUUUCCGUUCCUUAAGUGCUGAGGAAAGAGAAGAAGUUGCUGAGAAGAUAUCAGAUAUGGGAAGAUCAUCUCCUAACAAGAAGCUGCUGGUUUUUCAAGCAUUGGGAAAGCGAGGAAACGUUGUAGCUGUAACUGGGGAUGGCACUAAUGGUUUUUCGGAGGGUUCCUUUAAUAAUGUCCUAAUAAUGUUAUCACCUUUUCUAUUAAUUCAUGACUUCUGUCAUUCUAGCGUCUAUUCAGCAGAUAUAGCAGACAGAUGCCUUGAAAUCCUUCUAAUAGAACUGGUUCAUAGUCUUGAAGUCCCUGGAUGCCUCAUGGUAUCUUUCUGUGCUAAGAUGAAUUGCAAUACGUUGGUAAAUUUGGUUGUAGCCUUCAAGUCGCUUCAUGUCUGGAAGUUGUCUUGUUCUUAUAUUUACUACAAGGUAAAUAGAUUGCAAGGUGUUAAAAUAAUGUGGGAUCUUAGUUUGCCAUGUUUUUAGAAAAAUUUUCAUCAUCAUGAAUGGCUCUCGAGUGUUCAUUUUUUUGGUCUGCUUAUACCCAUGCACUUCUGUUGUGCCUUGACUUUGAACUCUUUUCAACCAAUAAUUUUGUUGCUUGGAUAUCUCUUUUAUCUUGGAGUUCAGGCAGAUAUUGGCCUUGCAAUGGUAUUCAAGGGAUGGUAGUUGCAAAAGAGUUUUCAAACAUUAUAAUGGGUAGUCUGCCUGAAUUUCUAAAGCGGAAUUCAGCAUCCUCAUGACAGACUUUAUUGUUUGAUUGAAUUUUUCUGGAAAGUGGUGUCAACUAAUGGUAAUGAGUUAUAGUGGAGCUUCAGUACAUUAGUUACUUGGAGAGUUCUCUCUCUGGAAAGUUGUCUACUUUUUUUACUAGAUGGUACUGUGCAUAUUUACUUGACUCAGAUACGUAGUCCAGAUUCCUCAAACAAGUACUUCACAAUACUAAAACUUCACCUGCAAAUUUGGAAAAUAUUCAGAUUUGGAAAAUAGAAUUGGGCGGUGGCAAAUCUUUUUUGACUUGCUAAUUAGUUGAUUAUUUGAUUUCACAUUGUCAACUUAAUUGUGGGUUACGAUUUUGAAUCUGGGUGCGUUUGGUUGAUUAAUCCUUAGAAAGUGUAGAGAUGGUUGACAGACCUCAAUUUAUCUGGUGGGGAACAUUUGUAUAUGCAAAUAUUCAGAAAUUUAUUCAGUGUCAGCUACACUUAAAGUUGCAGCUCUUAUCUUUAACGUUGUUGCUGCAUGCAGGUACUCGUUCUCUCUCUCUCUCUAGCAUGGGUGUGCGUGCGCCCACGUGUGGGUGCCCCUACCCAUUUCUGCUUCUCUUUGCUCACUCUACUUCUCAACCUUUCUCUUUGCUUGCAGCUUCUAUGGGUUAAUCUUAUCAUUUCGAACACCCCUGGUGCAGUAGCACUGGCUACCGAGACUCCAACUGACCACCUUAUGCAUAGGCCUCCGGUUGGUAGGAGGUAAGAGUUCCUGGAUGUUAUUAUUGGGUGCAACAUAUGUGAAAAAUUUUGGUCACAAGCUUCGAGAUCCUGUUUUUUUCUUGUCAACUCAAAUCCUCGGUUUCUUUAGAUGUGUAUUGGGAUUUCUUCACUUGCCGAAACCUGUCGUUUAUCCUUACCCUUCGAGCAUGCACUGGUAGGGUGAUUUUCUCAAUUGCAGAGAACCUCUCAUCACAAGUAUCAUGUGGAAGAAUUUAU
Eucalyptus grandis is the source of this 4549-nucleotide long non-coding RNA. RefSeq lists it as uncharacterized. Lineage: Eukaryota; Viridiplantae; Streptophyta; Magnoliopsida; Myrtales; Myrtaceae. The record is from RefSeq and is a predicted model, not a curated record. The transcript is spliced from 9 exons.